This 703-nucleotide ribosomal RNA is filed under the name Salmonella enterica. Its description in RNAcentral is "partial 23S ribosomal RNA". It matches the Rfam family "Bacterial large subunit ribosomal RNA", at positions 711 to 1326 of the family's 2925-position model. RNAcentral also lists the same sequence under 3 other names. Lineage: Bacteria; Pseudomonadati; Pseudomonadota; Gammaproteobacteria; Enterobacterales; Enterobacteriaceae. The record is from RNAcentral.
AGACCCGAAACCCGGUGAUCUAGCCAUGGGCAGGUUGAAGGUUGGGUAACACUAACUGGAGGACCGAACCGACUAAUGUUGAAAAAUUAGCGGAUGACCUGUGGCUGGGGGUGAAAGGCCAAUCAAACCGGGAGAUAGCUGGUUCUCCCCGAAAGCUAUUUAGGUAGCGCCUCGUGAAUUCAUCUCCGGGGGUAGAGCACUGUUUCGGCUAGGGGGCCAUCCCGGCUUACCAACCCGAUGCAAACUGCGAAUACCGGAGAAUGUUAUCACGGGAGACACACGGCGGGUGCUAACGUCCGUCGUGAAGAGGGAAACAACCCAGACCGCCAGCUAAGGUCCCAAAGUCAUGGUUAAGUGGGAAACGAUGUGGGAAGGCCCAGACAGCCAGGAUGUUGGCUUAGAAGCAGCCAUCAUUUAAAGAAAGCGUAAUAGCUCACUGGUCGAGUCGGCCUGCGCGGAAGAUGUAACGGGGCUAAACCAUGCACCGAAGCUGCGGCAGCGAACGUAUCACCCAAGACAACUUUACGGAGUUGACGAUUGACGGAGCGAAGCGACGUCAAAGCGUUCAUUAAAGUCGAGUUGGCUUAGGGAUACGUUCGUUGGGUAGGGGAGCGUUCUGUAAGCCUGUGAAGGUGUGUCGUGAGGCAUGCUGGAGGUAUCAGAAGUGCGAAUGCUGACAUAAGUAACGAUAAAGCGGGUGAAA